Molecule: microRNA precursor, 70 nt
Filed under: Tauraco erythrolophus (red-crested turaco)
Lineage: Eukaryota; Metazoa; Chordata; Aves; Musophagiformes; Musophagidae
Description: mir-145 microRNA precursor family
Rfam family: mir-145 microRNA precursor family
Source: Rfam by way of RNAcentral
GCCGUGCCCUCAGGGUCCAGUUUUCCCAGGAAUCCCUUAGGCGCUACGUUGGGGAUUCCUGGAAAUACUG